Molecule: long non-coding RNA, 2150 nt
Filed under: Homo sapiens (human)
Lineage: Eukaryota; Metazoa; Chordata; Mammalia; Primates; Hominidae
Description: HSALNT0200186
Source: RNAcentral
AAAAUAGCAUGCGAUAAUAUUUCACUAGGUAAAAUAACUAGUCAAGGAAUUUAUUUAAAUAGAUUCAAAUGGCUCCACUAUAUUUAAUUAUUUUAGAAAAGGUUUCCGUGAUACACUGUUAGAUAAAAACAUUUGCUAAGUUAUAGGUAUAGUGUGAUGAAAUUCUUGAUAAAAAUGAUAACAAAACCAUAACCUAUAUAGCUGCAUGUAUAUUUAUAUAUUAAUACAUUUGCAAAGGCAAAGGAAAAACAGGGAAAAACAGCAAAUUAUUACCAGUGAGUCCAUUAGGAGAUUAGGAAUCAAGGAGAGACUGCAAACUUUAAUAGAGCUACACAAAACUUUUUUGAGUAAUUAAAGAUAGAAUUUUCUACCUUUGCAAUUCAGAUGAUGGAGAUACAUGAGCUGACUGAAACAAAUACAAAUGUUCCUGAGCAGCACUGUCCAAUAGAAAUGUAUUGCAAGGCACAAAUGCAAGCCACAUACGUAUUUUUCAGUUUUCUAGUAGCCACAUUGUAAAAGGAAAAAGAAACAUCAAACUCAUUUACUUAGUAUAUUUUAAAUCAAUACUUCAUAAAUACUAUCAGUUCAAUAUGUAGCCAACAUAAAAUAUUUAUGAGCUAGUUUACAUUAUUUUCAUACUGUCCUAGAAAUCUGGUGUGUGUUUCACACUUACAGCACAUCUUAAUUCAGACUUGUCACACUUACAAGUGAUUAAUAGCCGUAUGAGUAUAGGAGCUACGUUACUGAACAGUGCAGCUCUAGAGGAAAUUAACGGUUUUGCUACUGGUGAAUUUGACUUGCAGAGACGUCUUCACUGUCAGCCUAGUAACGGUGUGACUGUAUCCAGGCUUGGUCCCAUUGUCCCAAUCUUAGUUCAACUGUACAUUGUCCAUCUCUAAUGUUUUUCAGUUGAGAAGCUUUGAUAUAAUUUAAUACAUUUUAUUAUUACCAGUAUGCAUACAGGUUAUCAUAAAAUCUACACUUCCAGUGAAAAUGAACAGUGUAUUUUCUGAAAACAGUAAGAAACCAGCUUUUUAAAAAUUCUCUUAACACAACUUUGUAGAAAAACAAAAGAUAAUAUGGUAUUAAUUCUGAAUUUUAACUUGAAUGUUUGGACAACUAUAUUUUCUACAAGGGCAAAGAAGACAAAAUGUUCCCCAAAUAAAAAGUCAGUGGUCAAGGCAUUUAUAAUGUGAUGCCUCAUCCAAAUAUCUAGAUGAGGAGGUUUUUGUUUAAGCCCCAACUUGACCACCAAACACAUGGGUAAAUUUAGAUAAUUUCCAUAAAUUCCCUGGGCUUUACUUUCCCCAGUUAUCUACAGUGAACUUAUUUAACAUGAUUCUAAAAUUCAAAUUAAAAAAGGCAUGUGAUAACACUGUAUAAAUAAAAUGUCUUUUCAGACAUUGUAAAAUCAGAAUAAUGGUUUUGAAGUUAAGAGGAAUGCCAGUAAUAUUAAAUUUCUAAAUUCUAUGGUUAGUUUUAAGUCAGAAUUUCAGAUAAUACAGAGAAAGAAAAAUAUAUUGUAAGCAUAUUUACAGGGCCACAAUGGAUGGUUCUUACUAGGUUGAGUUUUAAGGACACUGAGCAUGGAAGGCAGCUGUAUACACCAUAGAAGACAGCUAAAAAUACAAUGCAUGAGGACUAAGAAUGGACAGAUUUCAAAACUUGGUGGCCUCUCUUCAAUAAAGAGCUGUGAGACUGGAUAGUCAUUUACUCAGCUAAAUCCCAGAGUUAUUAAGGAUUAUUGAAUGUUAGAAGAAUAUAUUCUUAUGCUAUUGUUACUUAUGUUUCCUCCACCUUUGCUAGAAAAUUGACUUUGCUUCUUUGAGAACAGCAUGGUGAGUCUACUAUCCUUGACUUUUCAUCAAUUUGUUUCAUCACUAAAGUAUUUCAAGUUGCUGUCUACGUCAAGGCAAGAAAUUCUGUAGGGUUUCAGCUGAAAAAUCAGAAGCCACACAGGCUUGCUGGAACACACAGCUGCAUUUCCAGCUCUGAUUUUAAAUGUGCUCUAUCUGGAUCCAUAUUCUGCACAAUCUGCCUCUUGUGAUGAAGAUGAAAAUGGUUACCUUAAAGUUCUCUUCGGUCAGGCCUUCUUCAGUUUUAGCAUCUCUAAUCAUUGCAGCAACGUAUCGCUUCACCAGGUUCCUCAU